UGAAGAAAAACCAUAAAUAAAUAAAUAAUGAAUAAGACACAAAAAGACUUUAGUUCAACCGUUAUGAUUUUCCAAAGCACCAAAAGACAAUCAUUUAAAUUUGGCUUGAUAACUAGAAAAUAUUAGUCGCACAGAAGGUUUUAAGCAUGCAUUACGUCUGUGAAUAUUUCAUCAAGUCGUUGAAUAAAUUAAUGUUGAAAAACAUUUGGCACACCGUCUUCUAAAGUCUAUAUCACAGAUCUAUAUAUAUUACUUCUAGAAUGAACAUGGAGAUCACAGAUCUAUAUAUAUUAUAUCUAGAAUGAACAUGGAGACCUUUUAACACUACAAAAAAUGUCGUGAAAAACUUUUUUAAAAGUUUAAACAAGGUUUUGUUUUGUAAAGUAAUUAUAAGAAGUGAAGUUUUUUUUCAACCCUAACCUAUGUAACAUAUAAUUUAAUGUUUAGAUCUAAAACUAGUAAUUGAACAUCGAAAAAAAGAACACUCUCGUCUCAUAAUUCUUAUUUUGCAAUUUUUAGCUAUAUAAAAACAAAAUCAAUCUAUUUAAAUGUACAUAAGAGGACUAAAAUCAAUAGUCGUGAAUUAUUUCGAUCUAGGAUUUGGAAACGUUGUCCUAUUGGAAACUAACAGGAAAUAGCUUUAUUGCGAGAAUAUAUAGUUCUGUGAUUAAUACAUAACAAUCUAUAUAUAUAGGUUUGUGAGUUGAUCCAUCGCGGGUAAGAAAUUGUUUCCGUUUUCCAGUCUAGGUAUAAUAUAUAUAGGUCUGUGGUCUAGAAUCUAGAUCUUAAGAUCUAGCAUAAAAAUAUUACACAGUUUAUU
This is a non-coding RNA of Biomphalaria pfeifferi, 820 nucleotides long. The record is from the annotation of a GenBank genome assembly. NCBI's taxonomy places the organism in Eukaryota, Metazoa, Mollusca, Gastropoda, Planorbidae.